UACGUAGGGUGCAAGCGUUGUCCGGAAUUAUUGGGCGUAAAGAGCUUGUAGGCGGUUUGUCGCGUCUGCUGUGAAAUUUCGGGGCUCAACCCUCGAAUGCCGAUGGAUACUGUCGGGCUAGAGUGCGGAAGAGGCGAGUGGAAUUCCUGGUGUAGCGGUGAAAUGCGCAGAUAUCAGGAGGAACACCUAUUGCGAAGGCAGCUCGCUGGGACGUUACUGACGCUGAGACGCGAAAGCGUGGGGAGCAAACAGG
RNAcentral lists this ribosomal RNA (253 nucleotides) under uncultured bacterium. Its description in RNAcentral is "partial 16S ribosomal RNA". It matches the Rfam family "Bacterial small subunit ribosomal RNA", at positions 524 to 776 of the family's 1533-position model. The record is from RNAcentral.